RNAcentral lists this long non-coding RNA (815 nucleotides) under Polistes fuscatus (common paper wasp). Its description in RNAcentral is "uncharacterized LOC122525360". The record is from RNAcentral. Lineage: Eukaryota; Metazoa; Arthropoda; Insecta; Hymenoptera; Vespidae.
GAAUGAAUACAAAUACAUUUAUAUAUACAUUUAUAUAUAUAUAUAUAUAUAUAUAGUGUCCUACUGAUGUCAAAAGAUUAGGAUCACAGCGUGGCGCCACCGAACGAGAAACGUCGUGUCUGCAGUUUUGACGAUGAAUGCCGCUGGCGAUUUCGAAGCUAGAAAGGAAGAAGAAGAUGAAAAAGAGAAGAGGAUUCUUGUGGUCAAUGACGAUGGUAUCAGUGUUGGUGUUGGUUUGGCGUUGGUGUUGGUAUUGGUGGCGAUGGUGGUAUUGGUGGUGGUGGUGAUGGUGGUGGUGGUGGUGGUGGUGGUGGUGGUGCUGGUGGCAGAGUCCACAGUGGGAAGAGUUAAGAGAGAAGCUCGAACGAGAGGGGUAAAUGUAAGAGUAGAGGGUUUCCACGUGCUCGGUGCAUCGGUUAAAGAGAAGGGUCGUCGUUGAUACAAAGAUGGAUAAAUGAGGUAUGAAGCGUGCCGCUAAUGAUAAUAACGAGCAACGAAUGACAAUGCGAAUCGAUCGAGGAGCAUGCGUGGCCUCCCCCCCCCCCUGUAAACACGCGUUAUGGUAGCGUUAACACAGGUUAAACCGUCUGCUCUGUUCGGUCGGCGAACCAGGACGGCUGGCUCAACGUUUACCUCAUGAAAAUGUGCUGCAUCCUACGAUAUCGAUGAUAACACAAUUAUGUAAGCAUUUCAAAGCGAUGCCAGUCAAAUGGAUAUUAAUACCUACGAUAUAGACUGAAUGUUCUAGGAUAAAAUCAUUACCGAGCGAAAGAGAGAGAGAGAGAGAGAUAGAGGAAUAAAUGGAUACGUUAAAC